CAGUAGCCACGGUAAUACGUAGGUCCCGAGCGUUGUCCGGAUUUAUUGGGCGUAAAGGGAGCGCAGGCGGUUUAGUAAGUCUGAAGUUAAAGGCAUUGGCUCAACCAAUGUAUGCUUUGGAAACUGUUAGACUUGAGUGCAGAAGGGGAGAGUGGAAUUCCAUGUGUAGCGGUGAAAUGCGUAGAUAUAUGGAGGAACACCGGUGGCGAAAGCGACUCUCUGGUCUGUCACUGACGCUGAGGCUCGAAAGCGUGGGUAGCGAACAGGAUUAGAUACCCGUGUAGUCCCUGUCUCUUAUACA
Molecule: ribosomal RNA, 301 nt
Filed under: uncultured bacterium
Lineage: Bacteria
Description: partial 16S ribosomal RNA
Rfam family: Bacterial small subunit ribosomal RNA
Source: RNAcentral